GAUGAACGCUAGCUAUAGGCUUAACACAUGCAAGUCGAGGGGAAACGAUAGAGAAAGCUCGCUUUUUCUAGGCGUCGACCGGCGCACGGGUGAGUAACGCGUAUCCAACCUGCCCACCACUUGGGGAUAACCUUGCGAAAGUAAGACUAAUACCCAAUGAUAUCUCUAGAAGACAUCUGAAAGAGAUUAAAGAUUUAUCGGUGAUGGAUGGGGAUGCGUCUGAUUAGCUUGUUGGCGGGGUAACGGCCCACCAAGGCGACGAUCAGUAGGGGUUCUGAGAGGAAGGUCCCCCACAUUGGAACUGAGACACGGUCCAAACUCCUACGGGAGGCAGCAGUGAGGAAUAUUGGUCAAUGGGCGAGAGCCUGAACCAGCCAAGUAGCGUGCAGGAUGACGGCCCUAUGGGUUGUAAACUGCUUUUAUAAGGGAAUAAAGUGAGUCUCGUGAGACUUUUUGCAUGUACCUUAUGAAUAAGGACCGGCUAAUUCCGUGCCAGCAGCCGCAGUAA
RNAcentral lists this ribosomal RNA (508 nucleotides) under uncultured bacterium. Its description in RNAcentral is "partial 16S ribosomal RNA". It matches the Rfam family "Bacterial small subunit ribosomal RNA", at positions 28 to 523 of the family's 1533-position model. The record is from RNAcentral.